AGUGAACGCUGGCGGUAGGCCUAACACAUGCAAGUCGAACGGACGCACAGUAAGAGCUUGCUCUUAAGGGUGGCGAGUGACGGACGGGUGAGGCAUAGAUCGGAAUCUACUUUUUCGUGGGGGAUAACGUAGGGAAACUUCUGAUAAUACAGCAUAUGUCCUACGGGUGAAAGCAGGAGAUAUUCGCACCUUGCGCGACUGAAUGAGACGGUGUCGGAUUAGCUAGUUGGCGGGGUAAAGGCCCACCAAGGCGACGAUGCGUAGCUGAUCUGAGAGGAUGAUCAGCCACACUGGAACUGAGACACGGUCCAGACUCCUACGGGAGGCAGCAGUGGGGAAUAUUGGACAAUGGGCGCAAGCCUGAUCCAGCCAUACCGCGUGAGUGAAGAAGGCCUUCGGGUUGUAAAGCCCUUUUGUUGGGAAAGAAAAACAGCAGGUGAAUACCCCGCUGUUCUGACGGUACCCAAAGAAUAAGCACCGGCUAACUUCGUG
Molecule: ribosomal RNA, 492 nt
Filed under: uncultured bacterium
Lineage: Bacteria
Description: partial 16S ribosomal RNA
Rfam family: Bacterial small subunit ribosomal RNA
Source: RNAcentral